AGGGUUUGAUCAUGGCUCAGGACGAACGCUGGCGGCGUGCCUAACACAUGCAAGUCGAACGAAGCUUGACGGAUGAUUUCUUCGGAAUGAAUUCUGAUAUGACUGAGUGGCGGACGGGUGAGUAACGCGUGAGCAACCUGCCCUUCAGAGGGGGAUAGUGUCUGGAAACGGACAGUAAUACCGCAUAACGUAUAUCUGAGACAUCUCUAAUAUACCAAAGCAUUAGCGCUGAAGGAUGGGCUCGCGUCUGAUUAGAUAGUUGGUGGGGUAACGGCCUACCAAGUCGACGAUCAGUAGCCGGACUGAGAGGUUGAACGGCCACAUUGGGACUGAGACACGGCCCAG
Molecule: ribosomal RNA, 345 nt
Filed under: uncultured bacterium
Lineage: Bacteria
Description: bacterial SSU rRNA
Rfam family: Bacterial small subunit ribosomal RNA
Source: RNAcentral